GUUUAUACAACAUUUUGCUUAUUAUUAGGCUUCUGGUUUCAUUUUCUGACUCUGCAGUAUGACUGUCCUUGGAAAUCAUAAAAUGUCCUACACUCCUCUCACUGAUGAACAGAACUGUCAGUGGCUGGUGGGAUUCUAAGAUCAAUUCAUCUCAAGGGAUGUAGGAAAAGAAUAUACAACAGUUAUCAUGUUAAGAUGUUUCCGAAAUAUUCACAGGCACGUGAGUUCCUUAGAAGCAGAAGACAAUGACCGUCUCUUCCCCUGCGCUCAGCGGGCACAGUACUUGCCUAGAGCACUGUCACCUCCUGACGAGCAUGGCUUGGUUUGCUCCAGUCCKGUAAAAUAUGCCAGAAAAGAUUCUCGGAAUACAUCUAAUGCCUCUAACUCAAACUCAAGUGUCAGUACCUCAAGUCCAUUAAGAAAACCCUCUGGAGUUUCAUGCAGUUGCUCCACUGAUAGUUUUGUCGGCAUCGGUCAUUCUCAGAGGCGUCAAGAAACUAACUCCAAAGUAUACAGCAG
This 519-nucleotide long non-coding RNA is filed under the name Apteryx rowi (Okarito brown kiwi). RNAcentral describes it as "lncRNA (ENSARWG00000017830.1)". The record is from RNAcentral. Lineage: Eukaryota; Metazoa; Chordata; Aves; Apterygiformes; Apterygidae.